CCUACGGGAGGCAGCAGUGGGGGAUAUUGCACAAUGGGGGAAACCCUGAUGCAGCGACGCCGCGUGGGUGAAGAAGCGCCUCGGCGCGUAAAGCCCUGUCAGCAGGGAAGAAAAUGACGGUACCUGACGAAGAAGCCCCGGCUAACUACGUGCCAGCAGCCGCGGUAAUACGUAGGGGGCAAGCGUUAUCCGGAUUUACUGGGUGUAAAGGGGGCGCAGACGGCGAUGCAAGCCUGGAGUGAAAGCCCGGGGCCGAACCCCGGGACUGCUCUUGAAACUGCGUUGCUGGAGUGCAGGAGGGGCAGGCGGAAUUCCUGGUGUAGCGGUGAAAUGCGUAGAUAUCAGGAGGAACACCGGUGGCGAAGGCGGCCUGCUGGACUGCAACUGACGUUGAGGCCCGAAAGCGUGGGGAGCAAACAGGAUUAGAUACCCCAGUAGUC
This 440-nucleotide ribosomal RNA is filed under the name uncultured bacterium. Its description in RNAcentral is "partial 16S ribosomal RNA". It matches the Rfam family "Bacterial small subunit ribosomal RNA", at positions 338 to 795 of the family's 1533-position model. The record is from RNAcentral.